Molecule: ribosomal RNA, 480 nt
Filed under: uncultured Paracoccus sp.
Lineage: Bacteria; Pseudomonadati; Pseudomonadota; Alphaproteobacteria; Rhodobacterales; Paracoccaceae
Description: bacterial SSU rRNA
Rfam family: Bacterial small subunit ribosomal RNA
Source: RNAcentral
GCGGCAGGCCUAACACAUGCAAGUCGAGCGCACCGCAAGGUGAGCGGCGGACGGGUGAGUAACGCGUGGGAACGUGCCCUUUGGUACGGAAUAGCCUCGGGAAACUGGGAGUAAUACCGUAUGAGCUCUUCGGAGGAAAGAUUUAUCGCCAAAGGAUCGGCCCGCGUUGGAUUAGGUAGUUGGUAGGGUAAUGGCCUACCAAGGCGAUGAUCAGUAGGGGAACUGAGAGGUUGAUCCCCCACACUGGCACUGAGAUACGGGCCAGACUCCUACGGGAGGCAGCAGUAGGGAAUAUUGGACAAUGGGUGCGAGCCUGAUCCAGCCAUGCCGCGUGCAGGAAGACGGCCUUCUGGUUGUAAACUGCUUUUAUCAGGGGAUAAAAAGCUCGUGCGCGAGCCAUUGAAGGUACCUGGUGAAUAAGCCACGGNUAACUACGUGCCAACAGCCGCGGUAAUACGUAGGUGGCAAGCGUUGUCCGGA